RNAcentral lists this ribosomal RNA (500 nucleotides) under uncultured bacterium. RNAcentral's name for it is "bacterial SSU rRNA". It matches the Rfam family "Bacterial small subunit ribosomal RNA", at positions 33 to 507 of the family's 1533-position model. The record is from RNAcentral.
AACGACGCUGGCGGCGUGCCUAACACAUGCAAGUCGAGCGAGAAAGUCCUCGGGGCGAGUAAAGCGGCGGACGGGUGAGUAAUACAUGGAUAAUCUUCCCUCGAGCCUGGGAUAACCCUGCGAAAGUGGGGCUAAUACCGGAUAAGACCACAUGACACAUGUCACGGGGUAGAAGGUGGCUUGUAUUUAUAUGAGCUAUCACUUGAGGAUGAGUCCAUGGCCUAUCAGCUAGUUGGUGAGGUAAGAGCUUACCAAGGGCUAUGACGGGUAGCUGGUCUGAGAGGACGACUAGCCACACUGGGACUGAGACACGGCCCAGACUCCUACGGGAGGCAGCAGUGGGGAAUAUUGGGCAAUGGGCGAAAGCCUGACCCAGCGACGCCGCGUGGGUGAUGAAGGCCUUCGGGUUGUAAAACCCUUUCGUGCGGAAAGAAUAGUCCUGUAGCGAAUAACUACGGGAUUUGACGGUACCGCAGGAAGAAGCACCGGCUAACUCCGUG